Molecule: long non-coding RNA, 412 nt
Organism: Oreochromis niloticus (Nile tilapia)
Lineage: Eukaryota; Metazoa; Chordata; Actinopteri; Cichliformes; Cichlidae
Exons: 2
Source: RefSeq, a predicted model, not a curated record
GUGUCAGGUCCGACGGUGCCCCGACCGGCGACCUGUGUGUAUGUGUGUGUUUGUUCUCUCGCUCUGUUUUUGUCUCCGGCUCCGCUGCAGUUGUUACGCGGUUGCGUAGCAACGGGAGAUCUCCGACCCGGAAGUGCUGCCACUCUGAGCUGUCCCACCUGCGACUGAUUCCUCGCCAGCUGCUGCCAAUCUUCCACCAUCGUUGGCAGAGCUAUUUAAUGGUGUGGCUGAGUGACAGACAGCGCUGGAGUAUUCCACCAAGCCUGGAAACGAGCGAGACGGAAAGACGAGAGGAGAGACGUCACUAUUCACGAGAGUUGUGUGGACACAUGAGGGGAGCACUGAAGGGACUUUGCACUGUGGAUAACUGUGGAUUGGCUUCACUGUAAAUAAAGACACUGUUCAACUUUAA